UAACACGUAGGUAACCUGCCCAUGUGCCCGGGAUAACUUCUGGAAACGGAUGCUAAAACCGGAUAGGUAGCAGACAAGCAUUUGACUGCUAUUAAAAGUGGCUAAGGCCAUGAACAUGGAUGGACCUGCGGUGCAUUAGCUAGUUGGUGAGGUAACGGCCCACCAAGGCGACGAUGCAUAGCCGGCCUGAGAGGGCGGACGGCCACAUUGGGACUGAGACACGGCCCAAACUCCUACGGGAGGCAGCAUG
RNAcentral lists this ribosomal RNA (250 nucleotides) under uncultured bacterium. RNAcentral describes it as "partial 16S ribosomal RNA". It matches the Rfam family "Bacterial small subunit ribosomal RNA", at positions 111 to 353 of the family's 1533-position model. The record is from RNAcentral.